RNAcentral lists this ribosomal RNA (398 nucleotides) under uncultured Bacteroidota bacterium. RNAcentral's name for it is "bacterial SSU rRNA". It matches the Rfam family "Bacterial small subunit ribosomal RNA", at positions 103 to 499 of the family's 1533-position model. Lineage: Bacteria; Pseudomonadati; Bacteroidota. The record is from RNAcentral.
CGGGUGCGUAACGCGUAUGCAAUCUACCUUUUACUAGAGUAUAGCCCAGAGAAAUUUGGAUUAAUCCUCUAUAAUAUCUUUAAGUUUCAUGACUUUUAGAUUAAAGUUUUAACGGUAAAAGAUGAGCAUGCGUCCUAUUAGUUUGUAGGUGAGGUAACGGCUCACCUAGACUACGAUAGGUAGGGGCCCUGAGAGGGGGAUCCCCCACACUGGUACUGAGACACGGACCAGACUCCUACGGGAGGCAGCAGUAAGGAAUAUUGGACAAUGGACGAAAGUCUGAUCCAGCCAUGCCGCGUGCAGGAUGAAAGCCCUAUGGGUUGUAAACUGCUUUUAUACAGGAAGAAACACUCGUACGUGUACGAGCUUGACGGUACUGUAAGAAUAAGGACCGGCUA